Molecule: non-coding RNA, 24 nt
Filed under: Drosophila melanogaster (fruit fly)
Lineage: Eukaryota; Metazoa; Arthropoda; Insecta; Diptera; Drosophilidae
Also listed under: 1 other name
Source: RNAcentral
UAAGACCUCAAAUCAGGUGGGACU